Molecule: ribosomal RNA, 468 nt
Filed under: uncultured bacterium
Lineage: Bacteria
Description: partial 16S ribosomal RNA
Rfam family: Bacterial small subunit ribosomal RNA
Source: RNAcentral
GACGAACGCUGGCGGCGUGCUUAACACAUGCAAGUCGAACGGAAAGGCCCUGCUUUUGUGGGGUGCUCGAGUGGCGAACGGGUGAGUAACACGUGAGUAACCUGCCCUUGACUUUGGGAUAACUUCAGGAAACUAGGGCUAAUACCGGAUAGGAGCUCCUGCUGCAUGGUGGGGGUUGGAAAGUUUCGGCGGUUGGGGAUGGACUCGCGGCUUAUCAGCUUGUUGGUGGGGUAGUGGCUUACCAAGGCUUUGACGGGUAGCCGGCCUGAGAGGGUGACCGGCAACAUUGGGACUGAGAUACGGCCCAGACUACUACAGGAGGCAGCAGUGGGGAAUAUUGCACAAUGGGCGGAAGCCUGAUGCAGCAACGCCGCGUGCGGGAUGACGGCCUUCGGGUUGUAAACCGCUUUCGCCUGUGACGAAGCGUGAGUGACGGUAAUGGGUAAAGAAGCACCGGCUAACUACGUG